RNAcentral lists this long non-coding RNA (826 nucleotides) under Bos taurus (domestic cattle). RNAcentral's name for it is "long non-coding RNA NONBTAT019440". Lineage: Eukaryota; Metazoa; Chordata; Mammalia; Artiodactyla; Bovidae. The record is from RNAcentral.
CAGAUUAUGACAACAAUCUUAAAAUAGGAAAAAGUACGUAACAGAAGAGAAAUUAUGACCCACUUGAAAUCAAAUGUAAAGUGUAAAUGCAUGUAAAUGCACACUUAAUGCUACUUUUUAUGUAUUAUUUAGUGAGUUUCAAUGGUAUGUGUUUAAUAUUUUUGCUACCUACACAUUAGGGAAAAGAGAUGUAAAUAAUUUUGGAAAGAAGAGGAAGGACAGUGUAAAAUGCAACUUUUUGUAGGUACCCCAUUACAGUGUGUUCAACAUCAUCCUAAAAUGCAAGAUUUUCCCACAUAGGUGACAAAGUGGCUCAUGUGCUAUCUAAGGGAAGAAGCUGUGUGCCCAUUCAAUAAGCAUGUUUUUUGCCAGGUAGUAAAUAUGUUCCAUAUCUGUAUUUAUCAUUGGAUUUCAGAUGGGAACUAGAAAACUGGAGAGAAAAAUGUAAUGAAACUGCUGCUGUAAAUUACUCCUGUUAGCAUGUAUUCAGUUGCUAAAUACACAUUUCUUCAAAAUAUUUGAAUUCAGAUGUCUUUACUAUUCCAUGUAGCAUAUAGUGUCAAGGAAUGUAAGAGUAGAAAAGGUUGAGAACCAGAGUCAAGUUGCUAGCAUAUUUAUUCAUUGUAGUCAUCUGUAAGCUGAGCUCUAUACUUCUGGUGAUAAAUGUGAAUGCUACACCUUUAAAUUAAAUAUUGUUAUUUUAUGCCAUACUUACAAAGCAAAUAUGGGGAGGAAAUUCUAUAGUGUGUCAUUAUCAUAGUCAGUUUCAUUCAGGAUCUACAAAGAUGCCUGAAAAUUGUUAUUGAAAUUGCCUAUCCUGAAGGUC